RNAcentral lists this ribosomal RNA (430 nucleotides) under uncultured bacterium. RNAcentral's name for it is "bacterial SSU rRNA". It matches the Rfam family "Bacterial small subunit ribosomal RNA", at positions 355 to 776 of the family's 1533-position model. The record is from RNAcentral.
UGGGGAAUAUUGCGCAAUGGCCGAAAGGCUGACGCAGCGACGCCGCGUGUGGGAGGAAGCCCUUCGGGGUGUAAACCACUGUCGGGAGGGACGAAUCGCGGACGGGCAAAUAGCCCGGACGCUUGACGGUACCUUCAAAGGAAGCACCGGCUAACCCUGUGCCAGCAGCCGCGGUAAUACAGGGGGUGCAAGCGUUGUUCGGAAUUACUGGGCGUAAAGCGCGGGCAGGUGGCCUUUUAAGUCCUUUGUGAAAUUCCGGAGCUCAACUCCGGAUGUGCAUAGGAUACUGGAAGGCUAGAGACUGGUAGAGGCGAGCGGAAUUCCUGGUGUAGCGGUGGAAUGCGUAGAUAUCAGGAAGAACACCGGUGGCGAAGGCGGCUCGCUGGGCCAGUUCUGACACUCAUCCGCGAAAGCGUGGGGAGCAAACAGG